Molecule: ribosomal RNA, 492 nt
Filed under: uncultured bacterium
Lineage: Bacteria
Description: partial 16S ribosomal RNA
Rfam family: Bacterial small subunit ribosomal RNA
Source: RNAcentral
AGUGAACGCUGGCGGUAGGCCUAACACAUGCAAGUCGAACGGCAGCACAGUAAGAGCUUGCUCUUACGGGUGGCGAGUGGCGGACGGGUGAGGGAUACAUCGGAAUCUACUUUUUCGUGGGGGAUAACGUAGGGAAACUUACGCUAAUACCGCAUACGACCUACGGGUGAAAGCAGGGGAUCUUCGGACCUUGCGCGAUUGAAUGAGCCGAUGUCGGAUUAGCUAGUUGGCGGGGUAAAGGCCCACCAAGGCGACGAUCCGUAGCUGGUCUGAGAGGAUGAUCAGCCACACUGGAACUGAGACACGGUCCAGACUCCUACGGGAGGCAGCAGUGGGGAAUAUUGGACAAUGGGCGCAAGCCUGAUCCAGCCAUACCGCGUGGGUGAAGAAGGCCUUCGGGUUGUAAAGCCCUUUUGUUGGGAAAGAAAAGCAGCAGGUUAAUACCCCGCUGUUCCGACGGUACCCAAAGAAUAAGCACCGGCUAACUUCGUG